AAGUCCCGCCCUGCCCGUGAAGAUUUUCACGGCCGCGGUAUUCUAACCGUGCAAGGUAGCGUAAUCACUUGUCUUCUAAAUAAAGACCAGUAUGAAUGGCUAAAUGAGGACAAACCUGUCUCCUGCUCCCAAUCAGUGAAAUUGAUCUUCUGGUACAAAAGCCAGAAUAAUAACAUAAGACGAGAAGACCCUGUGGAGCUUAAAAUUGCUGUCUACUUAUUAAACCUAGCAUUAAUUUUAAGUUGGGGCGACUUCGGAACAGAAUAAAACUUCCGAGCAGGGAGCCACCCACCUCCUAAUAAGGCCCACAAGCCAAUACAGCCGACCCAGUCACACUGAUCAACGAACCAAGUUACCCCAGGGAUAACAGCGCAAUCCCCCUCAAGAGUCCUUAUCGCCAGGGGGGUUUACGACCUCGAUGUUGGAUCAGGACACCCCUAUGGUGCAGCCGCUAUUAAAGGUUCGUUUGUUCAACGAUUAAUAGUCCUACGUGAUCUGAUU
RNAcentral lists this ribosomal RNA (501 nucleotides) under Ablepharus bivittatus (Twin-striped skink). Its description in RNAcentral is "partial large subunit ribosomal RNA". It matches the Rfam family "Bacterial large subunit ribosomal RNA", at positions 1897 to 2610 of the family's 2925-position model. The record is from RNAcentral. Lineage: Eukaryota; Metazoa; Chordata; Lepidosauria; Squamata; Scincidae.